AACUAACGCUGGCGGCGUGCCUAACACAUGCAAGUCGAACGAGAAGCCCGCAAGGGUUGUAAAGUGGCGGACGGGUGCGUAACACGUGGGUAAUCUACCCUAUGGCCUGGGAUAACCUGCCGAAAGGCGGGCUAAUACCGGAUAAGACCACGGCUCUGCGGAGCUGUGGGAAAAGACCCGCAAGGGUCACCGUUUGAUGAGCCCGCGGCCUAUCACGGUAGUUGGUGGGGUAAUGGCUCACCAAGCCUACGACGGGUAGGCUGGUCUGAGAGGACGACCAGUCACACUGGAACUGAGGCACGGUCCAGACUCCUACGGGAGGCAGCAGUGGGGAAUAUUGCGCAAUGGGCGAAAGCCUGACGCAGCAACGCCGCGUGGGUGAUGAAGGCCUUCGGGUUGUAAAGCCCUGUCGCCCGGGACGAACAAGCUCGUGAAGAACGAGCCCUGACGGUACCGGGAGAGGAAGCACCGGCUAACUCUGUGCCAGCCGCCGCGGUAA
RNAcentral lists this ribosomal RNA (499 nucleotides) under uncultured bacterium. Its description in RNAcentral is "partial 16S ribosomal RNA". It matches the Rfam family "Bacterial small subunit ribosomal RNA", at positions 29 to 523 of the family's 1533-position model. The record is from RNAcentral.